Xyrichtys novacula (pearly razorfish) is the source of this 469-nucleotide non-coding RNA. Lineage: Eukaryota; Metazoa; Chordata; Actinopteri; Labriformes; Labridae. The record is from the annotation of a GenBank genome assembly.
CUUACAUAUUCACUUUAUUUUGUGCUCAGCUGGCUAAUGAUUCAGCCUCACAGCUGAAGGUAUGUUAGCUUUAACGUAAGCUCGACGCUAGCGGCGCUAACUCGGCGCUAGCUCGACGCUAGCGGCGCUAACUCGGCGCUAGCUCGACGCUAGCGGCGCUAACUCGGCGCUAGCUCGACGCUAGCGGCGCUAACUCGGCGCUAGCUCGACGCUAGCGGCGCUAACUCGACGCUAACAGCGUUAGCGUAUGCUUUAUAGUACCGCAGCGGCUUACAUAUUCACUUUAUUUUGUGCUCAGCUGGCUAAUGAUUCAGCCUCACAGCUGUAGGUAUGUUAGCUUUAACGUUAGCUCGACGCUAGCGGCGCUAACUCGGCGCUAGCUCGACGCUAGCGGCGCUAACUCGAUGCUAACAGCGUUAGCGUAUGCUUUUUCAACUCAUUAUCUCGACCACUUCAAUCAUGAAUAAAC